Molecule: ribosomal RNA, 253 nt
Filed under: uncultured bacterium
Lineage: Bacteria
Description: partial 16S ribosomal RNA
Rfam family: Bacterial small subunit ribosomal RNA
Source: RNAcentral
UACGAAGGGGGCUAGCGUUGCUCGGAAUUACUGGGCGUAAAGCGCACGUAGGCGGCUUUCUAAGUCGGGGGUGAAAUCCUGGAGCUCAACUCCAGAACUGCCUUCGAUACUGGAAAGCUUGAGACCGGAAGAGGACAGCGGAACUGCGAGUGUAGAGGUGAAAUUCGUAGAUAUUCGCAAGAACACCAGUGGCGAAGGCGGCUGUCUGGUCCGGUUCUGACGCUGAGGCGCGAAAGCGUGGGGAGCAAACAGG